UGAGCUCCAGGCCACGACCUGAGGGCAGGAAGGCCACCAACCUCUCUGGGAGCUGUGGACUAUAGCUGCUCUCCGAGGCCUGAUUAACUGGUGCACUCCCUUUUGAAACCCACCUGGAACGCCUGGAUCAGGGUCUCUUAAGGACUUCUCUCCAGGAGGAACGGCCUAUGCUCUUUUCCUGUUCCACCGCACUGGCUUUCUAGACUCACAACCGGAUGCUGCGAAGGCCGCAGCCCAAGGAAGCAGGAAUAAAACAAGACGAUAAGUCAGAAGGUGAACACAGGUCUGACCUAAGCAGGUAAGAGAGUAAAUCCACAGCAGGAAGGGCAGAGCUGCGUCUUCCUAGGUGAAAGCAACUUAAGAAAACGUGCAACAAUGCCAGGCGUGGUGGCACAGUGAUGCGGACUCAGGCAGGAGGAUUAUGCUUUAAAACAUCACUUAUCAAAACCCUGCUUCAAAACAAAGGCAAAACAAAACAAGGCAGCUUCUGCCCACUGGAAAGCAUCUCUAGAUGAAACGGGUCAGGGCGCUGGUCCACUCCGUGCUGUUACUUCAGAGGACCGCGGAUGGAUACUUUGUACUUCAGAGCACCGCGGAUGGAUACUUUGUACUUCAGAGGACUGCAGAUGGAUACUUUGUACUGGACAGAAAUUUAUUCCUCACACCUCUGGAAGGUGGAGCCUGAGAUCAAGGAGCCUUUAGGCUAGGUCUGGGCUCCCUUCAGCCGUUGCCUUGCACUGUCCUCCCUAAGAAAGGAGUGCUCCACACUGUGCACUCCACAGCCUCAUGGCCGAGCACACUCUCCCCUCCAGACCUCGUUCACAAGGGCUCUGCCAAACAGCACCCAAAGGCCCCAACCCUGCUGCUCUGGGGACAGACUAUGAAAGGUGAAUUUUGGAGAGAGAGAUCUUCAUACCACAGAAGGGGUCUUUGGCUGGGCCGGAGCAAGAGCAUCUCAUCCAGAAAGGCUCUCCAUCCCUGAAUAGUUUGUAGUGUGGAGUGGGGUGGAAGUGGGGGACUGGAGGUCAAUUUGUGUACAAGCUGAGGACACUCCUGGCAGAAUCAGGACACUUCCUGGAGGACUCCUCCAGCCCGAGGCUCCUAGAUGAGCGCACACAGCUUCUCCCACACUCCCUGCUCCUGUGGCUGUGAGACCUAGAAUCUAUUCUAUUCUAUACAUCAAGGCUGCUUCUGAGAAGACAGAGGUGAUUUGUUUUGAUCUACUAAUGGCUGUGCAAGUAGACACAUAUGCACACGCAGUCUACUCUGUCGUCUGGGUGGACACCAUGCCUCAGUGUGACAGGAAACAAGCCACCUUCAGGCCUUAGUGUGAGUAUGAGGCAGACAGCAGCGCUGGAGGGGGUGUACUUCUGUGAGCUGCUCCUGUUUCCAAGAUUGACAGUACAGACAGACAGGGUACAUCCUGAGUGCAGACUUGGUGCUGUGGGUCUCCUGGCUGCUGUUUGUAUUUUGAUGCCACUCCUGCCCCUGACCAAGAGUGGGUCACACACUCGGGCAAGUCCAUGUGAACUCGCUCCCCGUCUUAACUGGUUACCUGGUUAAAUGGUUAACAGGCUAGAGCCCGUGACUGGGCAGUGGAAGGGAAGGUGGGGCUGGAAGUUUUAGAGAAAGAAAGAGAGGAGGGCAGAAGGGGACAGUGAGAUGGAGGGACGGAGAGAGGGAAGAUGGAGGAGAGGAGAUGGGAGGUGGAGCAGAAGCACAAGGUCUGGAGGAGCUGCAAGCAGCAGGGAUCUCCUGGGUGGGAAUAGAGCAGUUAGUGAUGAAUCUGCCCAGCCUUACACAGUAGUGCACAGCUUAUAAUAUUCUAACGGAUCGUGCGCUCUUUGCACGGGCUUACUGGGGCAGGAUAUUCUUUGCCUAGCCGUUGUGCUAUCGGGCAGGUUUUAAAGUGUUAGCACUGUCUGGUGUUUUCUGCAGUGACUCAGGCGGGCGGGAGAGAAAGAACACAGCCUGGGCCAAAUUUAGCCAGGCUUUGGAACAGGAAGGUUGGGCUAAGGACCAAGCUCCAGGGGAGAGGUGAUCGCCCACAGGAGAGUGAUCUCGGAGUUCUGGAGAGGCAAAGCCAGCAUUUGUGGGAGAGGCAUUGGCUAGUAGGUGGACGGCUGCUGGUCCAGGGUGUAGCAGGAUAAGCUAUGGGUUGUUUUUUUUU
Molecule: small RNA, 2170 nt
Filed under: Rattus norvegicus (Norway rat)
Lineage: Eukaryota; Metazoa; Chordata; Mammalia; Rodentia; Muridae
Description: uncharacterized LOC108352815
Source: RNAcentral